Lycium ferocissimum is the source of this 387-nucleotide long non-coding RNA. RefSeq lists it as uncharacterized. The record is from RefSeq and is a predicted model, not a curated record. NCBI's taxonomy places the organism in Eukaryota, Viridiplantae, Streptophyta, Magnoliopsida, Solanales, Solanaceae. The transcript has 2 exons.
CCAAAUAAUAGAAACUUUUUUUCGAUAUUAGAGAAGAUACAGAUAUGAAGUUCAAAAAUAGCUUUUCCCACAUUAGAAAGAACCACUCAGUACUGCAACCAAAGUUACUGUUAUAUAGUACAUGUUUGCACCUAUUGUUUAGUCUCUAACUACUAAUUCAAUCAGCAAAAGCAAGAAUGCUGCUCCAGAAAUAAACAUAACCCAAUCAUCCACAGCAUUCAUAGUAUCCCUCUCUCUCUGGUCCUCCUUUCAUUUAGAGUCCUCACACCUACGAUAGUACACCCUGCCUCACUCACACAUAUAUCACUAAAAUGCUAGCAAAGCAUAUUCUAACUCUUUUUGUAUUUACCCAUCAUCAUAGAAGCACAUCAGCUGAUUUUUUUUUUU